GACGAACGCUGGCGGCGUGCUUAACACAUGCAAGUCGAGCGGUAAGGCCCUUUCGGGGGUACACGAGCGGCGAACGGGUGAGUAACACGUGGGUGACCUGCCCUUAGCUCUGGGAUAAGCCUGGGAAACUGGGUCUAAUACCGGAUAUGACUCCAUGACGCAUGUUGUGGGGUGGAAAGCCUUGUGCGGCUAGGGAUGGGCCCGCGGCCUAUCAGCUUGUUGGUGGGGUGAUGGCCACCAAGGCGACGACGGGUAGCCGGCCUGAGAGGGCGACCGGCCACACUGGGACUGAGACACGGCCCAGACUCCUACGGGAGGCAGCAGUGGGGAAUCUUGCGCAAUGGGCGAAAGCCUGACGCAGCGACGCCGCGUGAGGGAUGACG
Molecule: ribosomal RNA, 383 nt
Filed under: uncultured bacterium
Lineage: Bacteria
Description: bacterial SSU rRNA
Rfam family: Bacterial small subunit ribosomal RNA
Source: RNAcentral